ACAUGCAAGUCGAGCGGACCGACGGGAGCUUGCUCCCUUAGGUCAGCGGCGGACGGGUGAGUAACACGUGGGUAACCUGCCUGUAAGACUGGGAUAACUCCGGGAAACCGGGGCUAAUACCGGAUGCUUGAUUGAACCGCAUGGUUCAAUCAUAAAAGGUGGCUUUYAGCUACCACUUACAGAUGGACCCGCGGCGCAUUAGCUAGUUGGUGAGGUAACGGCUCACCAAGGCGACGAUGCGUAGCCGACCUGAGAGGGUGAUCGGCCACACUGGGACUGAGACACGGCCCAGACUCCUACGGGAGGCAGCAGUAGGGAAUCUUCCGCAAUGGACGAAAGUCUGACGGAGCAACGCCGCGUGAGUGAUGAAGGUUUUCGGAUCGUAAAACUCUGUUGUUAGGGAAGAACAAGUACCGUUCGAAUAGGGCGGUACCUUGACGGUACCUAACCAGAAAGCCACGGCUAACUACGUGCCAGCAGCCGCGGUAAUACGUAGGUGGCAAGCGUUGUCCGGAAUUAUUGGGCGUAAAGCGCGCGCAGGCGGUUUCUUAAGUCUGAUGUGAAAGCCCCCGGCUCAACCGGGGAGGGUCAUUGGAAACUGGGGAACUUGAGUGCAGAAGAGGAGAGUGGAAUUCCACGUGUAGCGGUGAAAUGCGUAGAGAUGUGGAGGAACACCAGUGGCGAAGGCGACUCUCUGGUCUGUAACUGACGCUGAGGCGCGAAAGCGUGGGGAGCGAACAGGAUUAGAUACCCUGGUAGUCCACGCCGUAAACGAUGAGUGCUAAGUGUUAGAGGGUUUCCGCCCUUUAGUGCUGCAGCAAACGCAUUAAGCACUCCGCCUGGGGAGUACGGUCGCAAGACUGAAACUCAAAGGAAUUGACGGGGGCCCG
Molecule: ribosomal RNA, 890 nt
Filed under: Bacillus sp. 165B7_12AMannit
Lineage: Bacteria; Bacillati; Bacillota; Bacilli; Caryophanales; Bacillaceae
Description: bacterial SSU rRNA
Rfam family: Bacterial small subunit ribosomal RNA
Source: RNAcentral